CGGUAGCAGGAGGAAGCUUGCUUUCUUGCUGACGAGUGGCGGACGGGUGAGUAAUGCUUGGGAAUCUGGCUUAUGGAGGGGGAUAACUACUGGAAACGGUAGCUAAUACCGCGUAAUAUCGAGAGAUUAAAGGGUGGGACUUUCGGGCCACCUGCCAUAAGAUGAGCCCAAGUGGGAUUAGGUAGUUGGUGGGGUAAAGGCCUACCAAGCCUGCGAUCUCUAGCUGGUCUGAGAGGAUGGCCAGCCACACUGGAACUGAGACACGGUCCAGACUCCUACGGGAGGCAGCAGUGGGGAAUAUUGCACAAUGGGGGGAACCCUGAUGCAGCCAUGCCGCGUGAAUGAAGAAGGCCUUCGGGUUGUAAAGUUCUUUCGGUGAUGAGGAAGGUGUUUUGUUUAAUAGACAAGGCAAUUGACGUUAGUCACAGAAGAAGCACCGGCUAACUCCGUGCCAGCAGCCGCGGUAAUACGGAGGGUGCGAGCGUUAAUCGGAAUAACUGGGCGUAAAGGGCACGCAGGCGGAUUGUUAAGUGAGAUGUGAAAGCCCCGAGCUUAACUUGGGAAUUGCAUUUCAGACUGGCAGUCUAGAGUAUUUUAGGGAGGGGUAGAAUUCCACGUGUAGCGGUGAAAUGCGUAGAGAUGUGGAGGAAUACCGAAGGCGAAGGCAGCCCCUUGGGAAUAUACUGACGCUCAUGUGCGA
Molecule: ribosomal RNA, 700 nt
Filed under: Pasteurellaceae bacterium I39
Lineage: Bacteria; Pseudomonadati; Pseudomonadota; Gammaproteobacteria; Pasteurellales; Pasteurellaceae
Description: bacterial SSU rRNA
Rfam family: Bacterial small subunit ribosomal RNA
Source: RNAcentral